AACGAACGCUGGCGGCAUGCCUAACACAUGCAAGUCGAACGAGACCUUCGGGUCUAGUGGCGCACGGGUGCGUAACGCGUGGGAACCUGCCCUUAGGUUCGGAAUAACUCCCCGAAAGGGGUGCUAAUACCGGAUAAUGUCUUCGGACCAAAGAUUUAUCGCCUUUGGAUGGGCCCGCGUUGGAUUAGCUAGUUGGUAGGGUAAAAGCCUACCAAGGCGACGAUCCAUAGCUGGUCUGAGAGGAUGAUCAGCCACACUGGGACUGAGACACGGCCCAGACUCCUACGGGAGGCAGCAGUGGGGAAUAUUGGACAAUGGGCGAAGGGCUGAUCCAGCAAUGCCGCGUGAGUGAUGAAGGCCUGAGGGUUGUAAAGCUCUUUUACCCGGGAUGAUAAUGACAGUACCGGGAGAAUAAGCUCCGGCUAACUCCGUG
RNAcentral lists this ribosomal RNA (433 nucleotides) under uncultured bacterium. Its description in RNAcentral is "partial 16S ribosomal RNA". It matches the Rfam family "Bacterial small subunit ribosomal RNA", at positions 29 to 507 of the family's 1533-position model. The record is from RNAcentral.